GUGGGUUACAGAAAGUAAAUGUGGUUAGUUAGCACAGUAGUCAUUUUACGUACAAUGUCCAAUAUUUUUUGCUAUGUCAUCAGGGUUUUUCUAGUUUUUCCAAGCAAUAUCAACUAUAUACAAUGGCAGUACUUUCGAGGAGUAGGCUGUGUGGACUGGUCUCAAUAAACGCUUACUUAAGAACAGUUAUUACAUAAUUAUAGAUGAUGAAGGUAUAUUUUCUUUACAUAGUGAUUACAUCAGUUUUUCUUGAGAGCUUGUACCAGCUUAUG
This is a non-coding RNA of Pelobates cultripes (western spadefoot toad), 272 nucleotides long. The record is from the annotation of a GenBank genome assembly. NCBI's taxonomy places the organism in Eukaryota, Metazoa, Chordata, Amphibia, Anura, Pelobatidae.